UACGAACUGUGCGAACGUUAUUCGGAAUCACUGGGCUUACAGGGUGCGUAGGCGGCUUGUUAAGUAGGGUGUGAAAGCCCCCCGGCUCAACCGGGGAAUUGCGCCCUAAACUGGCGAGCUAGAGUGAGAUAGGGGUGUGUGGAACUUCCGGUGGAGCGGUGAAAUGUGUUGAUAUCGGAAGGAACGCCGGUGGCGAAAGCGACACACUGGAUCUUGUCUGACGCUGAGGCACGAAAGCCAGGGGAGCGAACGGG
Molecule: ribosomal RNA, 254 nt
Filed under: uncultured bacterium
Lineage: Bacteria
Description: partial 16S ribosomal RNA
Rfam family: Bacterial small subunit ribosomal RNA
Source: RNAcentral